This 440-nucleotide ribosomal RNA is filed under the name uncultured bacterium. RNAcentral's name for it is "partial 16S ribosomal RNA". It matches the Rfam family "Bacterial small subunit ribosomal RNA", at positions 338 to 795 of the family's 1533-position model. The record is from RNAcentral.
CCUACGGGUGGCAGCAGUAGGGAAUAUUGCUCAAUGGGGGAAACCCUGAAGCAGCAACGCCGCGUGGAGGAUGAAGGUUUUAGGAUUGUAAACUCCUUUUGUGAGAGAAGAUAAUGACGGUAGCUCACGAAUAAGCACCGGCGAACUCCGAUCCAGCGGCCGCGGGAAUACGGAGGGUGCAAGCGUUACGCGGAAUCACUGGGCGUAAAGAGUGCGCAGGGGGGGUGGUAAGUCAGGUGGUAAAUCCUGUAGCUUACCUAACGAACUGCAUGUGAAACUAUGAGUCUAGAGUGUGGGAGCGCUAGGUGGAAUUCUUGGUGUAGGGGUAAAAUCCGUAGAUAUCAAGAGGAAUACUCAUUGCGAAGGCGACCUACUGGAACAUGACUGACGCUCAUGCACGCAAGCGUGGGGAGCAAACAGGAUUAGAUACCCCGGUAGUC